UAGGGAAUCUUCGGCAAUGGGGGCAACCCUGACCGAGCAACGCCGCGUGAGUGAAGAAGGUUUUCGGAUCGUAAAGCUCUGUUGUAAGAGAAGAACGUGUGUGAGAGUGGAAAGUUCACGCAGUGACGGUAACUUACCAGAAAGGGACGGCUAACUACGUGCCUG
This 165-nucleotide ribosomal RNA is filed under the name uncultured bacterium. Its description in RNAcentral is "partial 16S rRNA". It matches the Rfam family "Bacterial small subunit ribosomal RNA", at positions 355 to 511 of the family's 1533-position model. The record is from RNAcentral.